Molecule: ribosomal RNA, 420 nt
Filed under: uncultured archaeon
Lineage: Archaea
Description: partial 16S ribosomal RNA
Rfam family: Archaeal small subunit ribosomal RNA
Source: RNAcentral
CUACGGGGUGCAGCAGCUAGGAAUAAUCUACAAUGCACGCAAGUGUGAUAGUUUGAGCCAGAGUGCUUUUCAAUGAAAAGCUUUUGCCAAGUGUAAAAAGCUUGGCGAAUAAGGACUGGGUAAGACGAGUGCCAGCCGCCGCGGUAAUACUCGCGGUCCAAGUCGCAGCCAUAUUUAUUGGGUCUAAAACAUCCGUAGCUUGCUUGAUAAGUUUCUUGUGAAAUCCUGUUCCUCAAGUUCAGGGCGCGCAGGAAGUACUGUCGAGCUAGAGACUGGAAGACGUAAGAAGUAUGUUCAAAGUAGUAGUAAAAUGCAUUAAUCUUGAGCAGACUCUCAAUAGCGAAGGCAUCUUACGAGGACAGUUCUGACAGUAAGGGAUGAAGGCUAGGGUCGCGAAAGGGAUUAGAUACCCCUGUAGUC